GAUGAACGCUGACAGAAUGCUUAACACAUGCAAGUCUACUUGAAUUUGGGUUUUUUAACUUAGAUUUGGGUGGCGGACGGGUGAGUAACGCGUAAAGAACUUGCCUCACAGCUAGGGACAACAUUUGGAAACGAAUGCUAAUACCUGAUAUUAUGAUUUUAAGGCAUCUUAGAAUUAUGAAAGCUAUAUGCGCUGUGAGAGAGCUUUGCGUCCCAUUAGCUAGUUGGAGAGGUAACGGCUCACCAAGGCGAUGAUGGGUAGCCGGCCUGAGAGGGUGAACGGCCACAAGGGGACUGAGACACGGCCCUUACUCCUACGGGAGGCAGCAGUGGGGAAUAUUGGACAAUGGACCAAGAGUCUGAUCCAGCAAUUCUGUGUGCACGAUGACGUUUUUCGGAAUGUAAAGUGCUUUCAGUUGGGAAGAAAAAAAUGACGGUACCAACAGAAGAAGUG
This 453-nucleotide ribosomal RNA is filed under the name Fusobacterium sp. oral taxon 203. Its description in RNAcentral is "bacterial SSU rRNA". It matches the Rfam family "Bacterial small subunit ribosomal RNA", at positions 28 to 492 of the family's 1533-position model. Lineage: Bacteria; Fusobacteriati; Fusobacteriota; Fusobacteriia; Fusobacteriales; Fusobacteriaceae. The record is from RNAcentral.